CAGCAGCCACGGGAAUACGAAGGGGGCUAGCGUUGCUCGGAAUGACUGGGCGUAAAGGGCGCGUAGGCGGAUUGUUUAGUUAGGCGUGAAAUUCCUGGGCUUAACCUGGGGACUGCGCUUAAUACAGGCAGUCUAGAGUGAGGAAGAGGGUUGUGGAAUUCCCAGUGUAGAGGUGAAAUUCGUAGAUAUUGGGAAGAACACCGGUGGCGAAGGCGGCGACCUGGUCCAUUACUGACGCUGAGGCGCGAAAGCGUGGGGAGCAAACAGGAUUAGAUACCCCUGUAGUCCCUGUCUCUUAUAC
Molecule: ribosomal RNA, 301 nt
Filed under: uncultured bacterium
Lineage: Bacteria
Description: partial 16S ribosomal RNA
Rfam family: Bacterial small subunit ribosomal RNA
Source: RNAcentral